GAUGAACGCUGGCGGCGUGCCUAAUACAUGCAAGUCGAGCGAACGGACGAGAAGCUUGCUUCUCUGAUGUUAGCGGCGGACGGGUGAGUAACACGUGGAUAACCUACCUAUAAGACUGGGAUAACUUCGGGAAACCGGAGCUAAUACCGGAUAAUAUUUUGAACCGCAUGGUUCAAAAGUGAAAGACGGUCUUGCUGUCACUUAUAGAUGGAUCCGCGCUGCAUUAGCUAGUUGGUAAGGUAACGGCUUACCAAGGCAACGAUGCAUAGCCGACCUGAGAGGGUGAUCGGCCACACUGGAACUGAGACACGGUCCAGACUCCUACGGGAGGCAGCAGUAGGGAAUCUUCCGCAAUGGGCGAAAGCCUGGCGGAGCAACGCCGCGUGAGUGAUGAAGGUCUUCGGAUCGUAAAACUCUGUUAUUAGGGAAGAACAAAUGUGUAAGUAACUGUGCACAUCUUGACGGUACCUAAUCAGAAAGCCACGGCUAACUACGUG
RNAcentral lists this ribosomal RNA (497 nucleotides) under uncultured bacterium. Its description in RNAcentral is "partial 16S ribosomal RNA". It matches the Rfam family "Bacterial small subunit ribosomal RNA", at positions 28 to 507 of the family's 1533-position model. The record is from RNAcentral.